CGGGCCUUGUACACACCGCCCGUCACACCAUGGGAGUGGGUUGCAAAAGAAGUAGGUAGCUUAACCUUCGGGAGGGCGCUUACCACUUUGUGAUUCAUGACUGGGGUGAAGUCGUAACAAGGUAACCGUAGGGGAACCUGCGGUUGGAUCACCUCCUUACCUUAAAGAAGC
This 171-nucleotide ribosomal RNA is filed under the name Escherichia coli. Its description in RNAcentral is "partial 16S ribosomal RNA". It matches the Rfam family "Bacterial small subunit ribosomal RNA", at positions 1375 to 1533 of the family's 1533-position model. The record is from RNAcentral. Lineage: Bacteria; Pseudomonadati; Pseudomonadota; Gammaproteobacteria; Enterobacterales; Enterobacteriaceae.